RNAcentral lists this ribosomal RNA (240 nucleotides) under uncultured bacterium. RNAcentral describes it as "partial 16S ribosomal RNA". It matches the Rfam family "Bacterial small subunit ribosomal RNA", at positions 796 to 1041 of the family's 1533-position model. The record is from RNAcentral.
CACACAGUAAACGAUGAAUACUCGCUGUUUGCGAUAUACAGUAAGCGGCCAAGCGAAAGCAUUAAGUAUUCCACCUGGGGAGUACGCCGGCAACGGUGAAACUCAAAGGAAUUGACGGGGGCCCGCACAAGCGGAGGAACAUGUGGUUUAAUUCGAUGAUACGCGAGGAACCUUACCCGGGCUUGAAUUGCAACCGAAUAAUCGAGAGAUCGAUUAGCCGCAAGGCGGUUGUGAAGGUGC